GCGGGUAUAGUUCAGAGGCAGAACCUCAGCCUUCCAAGCUGAUGACGCGGGUUCGAUUCCCGCUACCCGCUCCA
Molecule: transfer RNA, 74 nt
Filed under: Pseudomonadales bacterium
Lineage: Bacteria; Pseudomonadati; Pseudomonadota; Gammaproteobacteria; Pseudomonadales
Also listed under: 1 other name
Description: tRNA-Gly
Rfam family: tRNA
About the family: Transfer RNA (tRNA) molecules are approximately 80 nucleotides in length. Their secondary structure includes four short double-helical elements and three loops (D, anti-codon, and T loops).
Source: RNAcentral